GGGGGAUAACGUUCGGAAACGGACGCUAAUACCGCAUACGUCCUACGGGAGAAAGCAGGGGACCUUCGGGCCUUGCGCUAUCAGAUGAGCCUAGGUCGGAUUAGCUAGUUGGUGAGGUAAUGGCUCACCAAGGCGACGAUCCGUAACUGGUCUGAGAGGAUGAUCAGUCACACUGGAACUGAGACACGGUCCAGACUCCUACGGGAGGCAGCAGUGGGGAAUAUUGGACAAUGGGCGAAAGCCUGAUCCAGCCAUGCCGCGUGUGUGAAGAAGGUCUUCGGAUUGUAAAGCACUUUAAGUUGGGAGGAAGGGUUGUAGAUUAAUACUCUGCAAUUUUGACGUUACCGACAGAAUAAGCACCGGCUAACUCUGUGCCAGCAGCCGCGGUAAUACAGAGGGUGCAAGCGUUAAUCGGAAUUACUGGGCGUAAAGCGCGCGUAGGUGGUUUGUUAAGUUGGAUGUGAAAUCCCCGGGCUCAACCUGGGAACUGCAUUCAAAACUGACUGACUAGAGUAUGGUAGAGGGUGGUGGAAUUUCCUGUGUAGCGGUGAAAUGCGUAGAUAUAGGAAGGAACACCAGUGGCGAAGGCGACCACCUGGACUAAUACUGACACUGAGGUGCGAAAGCGUGGGGAGCAAACAGGAUUAGAUACCCUGGUAGUCCACGCCGUAAACGAUGUCAA
Molecule: ribosomal RNA, 682 nt
Filed under: uncultured bacterium
Lineage: Bacteria
Description: bacterial SSU rRNA
Rfam family: Bacterial small subunit ribosomal RNA
Source: RNAcentral